Molecule: ribosomal RNA, 253 nt
Filed under: uncultured bacterium
Lineage: Bacteria
Description: partial 16S ribosomal RNA
Rfam family: Bacterial small subunit ribosomal RNA
Source: RNAcentral
UACAGAGGUCUCAAGCGUUGUUCGGAUUCAUUGGGCGUAAAGGGUGUGUAGGUGGCGCGCUAAGUCGGGUGUGAAAUUUUGGAGCUUAACUCCGAAACUGCAUUCGAUACUGGCGUGCUUGAGGACUGGAGAGGAGACUGGAAUUCAUGGUGUAGCAGUGAAAUGCGUAGAGAUCAUGAGGAAGACCAGUGGCGAAGGCGGGUCUCUGGACAGUACCUGACACUGAGACACGAAGGCCAGGGGAGCAAACGGG